CGGAGUGUGGCUCAGUCUGGUAGAGCACCUCGUUCGGGACGAGGGGGUCGCAGGUUCAAAUCCUGCCACUCCGA
RNAcentral lists this transfer RNA (74 nucleotides) under Afipia sp. P52-10. It matches the Rfam family "tRNA". From Rfam's summary of the family: Transfer RNA (tRNA) molecules are approximately 80 nucleotides in length. Lineage: Bacteria; Pseudomonadati; Pseudomonadota; Alphaproteobacteria; Hyphomicrobiales; Nitrobacteraceae. The record is from Rfam by way of RNAcentral.